This 460-nucleotide ribosomal RNA is filed under the name uncultured bacterium. Its description in RNAcentral is "partial 16S ribosomal RNA". It matches the Rfam family "Bacterial small subunit ribosomal RNA", at positions 338 to 795 of the family's 1533-position model. The record is from RNAcentral.
CCUACGGGAGGCAGCAGUGAGGAAUAUUGGUCAAUGGACGAGAGUCUGAACCAGCCAAGUCGCGUGAAGGAUGACUGCCCUAUGGGUUGUAAACUUCUUUUAUAUGGGAAUAAAAUGUUCCACGUGUGGGAUUUUGUAUGUACCAUAUGAAUAAGGAUCGGCUAACUCCGUGCCAGCCGCCGCGGUAAUACGGAGGAUCCGAGCGUUAUCCGGAUUUAUUGGGUUUAAAGGGAGCGUAGGUGGAUUGUUAAGUCAGUUGUGAAAGUUUGCGGCUCAACCGUAAAAUUGCAGUUGAAACUGGCAGUCUUGAGUACAGUAGAGGUGGGCGGAAUGCGUGGUGUAGCGGUGAAAUGCUUAGAUAUCACGAAGAACUCCGAUUGCGAAGGCAGCUCACUGGACUGCAACUGACACUGAGGCUCGAAAGUGUGGGUAUCAAACAGGAUUAGAUACCCCUGUAGUC